CUGAUGCAGAAUGGAGACUGGACCUUCCAGAUCCUGGUGAUGCUGGAAAUGACCCCCCGGAGUGGGGACGUCUACACCUGCCAGAGGCAAAGUCGGACUCAGCCAGGAGAAAGAUGCUGACGGGGAUUGGGGGCUUCAUGAUGGGGCUGAUCUUCCUGGCACUGGGACUCCUCGUCUACCUAAGGAACAAGAAAGGUGAGUGCGGCAUGGAUGGGGUGGUGGAACUAGGGCUGGACCUGGGGGCCUGGCUGGAGGCUCCCCUCUCUCUCAGCUCCCAGCAGGUUCUGCCUUGGAAUAUGGCAGGAGCUUCCCACCUUCUUGUGUCCUGGGGCCGGGAUGGAUCCCACUGUCCCUCCCUCCUCUGAGGGGCAGGACAAAGCAGGGGCCAUGGGUAGGCAGAGCUGCCACUGCCUUAUCUCAGGGCAUUUCCUAUCCUCUGCUGCAAGGCAGUGACCCUGGGUUAGGAGGGGACAGGUCCAAUAGGGUUGGGGCACCUGGGUGUAACACACUGUGCGACUUCAUGGUGAUGUAAUAUUGGGGGGUCCCUCAGCUCCAUACCUUUCUCCUCUAUUCUGCUGUUGCUUGUCUGCUGGGACAGACCAAGAUUGUCCUUGGAGAAAACUUGCUAUCUUAGUUCCAGCGGCCCUCGGCCCAGACCUUGCUGCUCCAGCAGAGGAAGCUUUGCCAGCUGGUGGGUCAGCCUGUUUGUGUUCAGUGCAAUAUAAUUUAUGUCUUCAGCCUUUCAGCCUUGCAGGUGCAAAAGGCCUGCAGGUGUCAGUUUUUCUGGAUUCACCCUUAACCCUGAUAAUCGGUGAGGGAUGUGGAAAAGGCGGAGGAUUGUCUCACCUACAACAGAGCCUGAAAGAAAAUAUACCCCUUGGUUUUGAAAGGCAGAGUGGAGAAUAACAGACCAUUCCUGGAGUCAGGAGAUGGGGAGAAGGAGGGAGAGAGGACUGCUCGUGGCCCUGACCACUCUGAGGUCCAUGCAACUUUCACUUGCACUUUCAGUUUUGCCUUUGAAGCAGCAGAAGCUGCUCUUACCGUAUGCCUCACAUAUAAUGCUCAGCACUAUAUCCAGCAACUGUUUUUUUUUAAGGGAAAAUGGUCAUGGUGUGAGAGAAAUGACAGUAUCUUGUUUUAUCCAAGCUGUUCAGAAUCUGUUUCUUCAUCCAAGUCUUCCCUCCACUGCCACCUAGUUCCUAAACUUUGAAUUACUGAUAUUACUGGAAAACACAAGUGUGUCAUGUGAAUAAGGUAACUGUCCUUCUGACAGUCAGGGCUUCUCCAAAACAUGCUUAGCCAUUCUUUGGUCUAGGGCUGUUCCUGACCCUUGAUUCUGUCCGUACCUCCCUGCCUAUCUUGGCUAAUAAUAAAAAUACAAACUGUCCUGGCUGACCCUGUGGUUCACACAUGUGUAACCAUGCCAGAACUGAUCAUAGCUUUUCAUUCUCUCUUAAUGGAGAGCAAACUGCAUAGGUUCAGUUCAGGGAAAUAUCUAGACAUCCACACAGUGACUCCCUAUAUCCAGCCCUGCUUUUGGCAAGACAGCAAUGUGGGCUUUGAAUGAGGGAUUUGGGCUCCCUAAGGAGGUGUGCUCCAUUUCUCAAGCCUUGGGCAGGAGCUUUGAUCUCUAAGGAAUGGACUGCCGCUGCCCAGACUCUGACUGUUUCUCCUUGUUUUCCAGGCCAGCCUGUUCCCCAACCAAUAGGUAAUUUCCAUCUCAUCCUACCCCAAUGAAGCACCCUUUCCCUCAGGGACCAUGGGUUGCAUGAGGUGUUCAUGAAGUGGCUGAUGCUGCCCCUUCACCCUGGCACUUUCCCAGCCCAACCUGGGUGGGAGCUGGAACAUGGAACAUUUUCAGUGAGGAAGAGGAGGAGUCUCCAUCUCCCUCAUCGCCACUAUUCAGGGCUCUUCAGUUAGAUCCUGCAGCUUCGGGCUUGCAUUGUCCAGUGUCAUUUUCUAGGUGGGGUCUCCUGGCACCUGUCCCUGUGUCUGGAGCUCUUCUCACUUUCCCUGUAUUGUCACCUGGACUGCUGUGGCUGACUCGUCUCUGUCUAAGCCUGCACCACAUCUGCACUCCCCAGUGCUACUGCUUUUGGGUGAUCUUCAAGGGACUCUCAUCUGACACAUGUGGGGAGCUGUAACAAGGCUGUUGGCUGUGACAACUGCUGCAUGUAAGAAUUAACCUCCCCUGGGGCCUUUGACUAAAGCUAAUUUUCCAUAGAAAUGACCAGCAUGGCUCUCAUCAGCUUGGGGGGUGGAAACGUGUCACAAGAUGGAGGCACUCAAUGUUGCCCAGGAAAUACAUGCUACAUCCUGUCGCAAAGCUAGUCCUAGUGGGUCUCUGAGUUUUUGGUCACUUUGUUCCAAUUGAGAGCAGUCCCUGGCAGGGUCAGCUUGUAGCAGUGGUCGGGGUGCUUGGGGUGGCCCAUGGGGCUGUUGGAUGGAAAGAGUUGGGGCUGGGCCAGUUGCAUUGAAACAUGGGAUGGAGUUUGUGCUGUUGUAAUUGCUGCCACUACCACUCUGGAUCACUCCUUUGGCAGCUUUCUGUCCUGCUGGGGGGU
Alligator mississippiensis (American alligator) is the source of this 2564-nucleotide RNA transcript. RefSeq lists it as uncharacterized. The record is from RefSeq and is a predicted model, not a curated record. The transcript has 3 exons. Lineage: Eukaryota; Metazoa; Chordata; Crocodylia; Alligatoridae.